UACAGAGGGGGCAAGCGUUGUUCGGAAUUACUGGGCGUAAAGGGCGCGUAGGCGGCCUUCUAAGUCGAACGUGAAAUCCCUGGGCUCAACCCAGGAACUGCGUCCGAUACUGGAAGGCUUGAAUUCGGGAGAGGGAUGCGGAAUUCCAGGUGUAGCGGUGAAAUGCGUAGAUAUCUGGAGGAACACCGGUGGCGAAGGCGGCAUCCUGGACCGGCAUUGACGCUGAGGCGCGAAAGCCAGGGGAGCAAACGGG
RNAcentral lists this ribosomal RNA (253 nucleotides) under uncultured bacterium. RNAcentral describes it as "partial 16S ribosomal RNA". It matches the Rfam family "Bacterial small subunit ribosomal RNA", at positions 524 to 776 of the family's 1533-position model. The record is from RNAcentral.